UGGCCGCAGUAUAUUAACUGUGCAAAGGUAGCAUAAUCAUUAGUCUUUUAAUUGAAGGCUAGUAUGAAUGGUUGGACGAAAUAUUAACUGUUUCAUAAAAAUUUGUAUUAAAAUUUUAUUUUUUAGUAAAAAAGCUAAAAUUUUAUUAAAAGACGAGAAGACCCUAUAAAUCUUUAUAUUUAAAUUAUUAGAAUUUUUAGGAUUAUUUAUAUUUUAAUAUUUAAUAGUAUUUUAUUGGGGUGAUAUUAAAAUUUAAUAAACUUUUAAUUUAAUAAUUCAUUAAUUUAUGAUUAGUUGAUCCGUAUUUAACGAUUAAAAAUUUAAGUUACUUUAGGGAUAACAGCGUUAUUUUUUUGGAGAGUUCUUAUCAAUAAAAAAGAUUGCGACCUCGAUGUUGGAUUAAGAGAUAAGGUUAGGUGUAGCCGCUUAAUUUUUAAGUCUGUUCGACUUUUGAAUUCUUACAUGAUCUGAGUUUAAACCGGUGUAAGCCAGGUUGGUUUCUAUCUUUAGUAA
This 513-nucleotide ribosomal RNA is filed under the name Mesembrinella bellardiana. RNAcentral's name for it is "partial small subunit ribosomal RNA". It matches the Rfam family "Bacterial large subunit ribosomal RNA", at positions 1928 to 2650 of the family's 2925-position model. Lineage: Eukaryota; Metazoa; Arthropoda; Insecta; Diptera; Calliphoridae. The record is from RNAcentral.